CCUUACCCGCUUCAUUUCAGAUUCUAUCUUUUCAUAACCCUUACCUUUAUCUCAUCCUCAUCUCACCUUCUGUAGAAACACUAACCGUGACCCCAGAUUUCUCGACAUCGCCGCCGCUCCCAUUGGGAUAGGAGCCUCCGCCUCCACACCCUCUCCUCCUCUGCCUCCGCAGCGCCACGAGAGGCCGUCGAAGAGCUCCGCCUCCACAUCCUCUCCUCCUCCGCCUCUGCGGCGCCACGAGAGGCCGUUGAAGAGGGCGAAGAAACGAAGGGAGUGGGUAGAGAAGAAGAAGCGGAAAAAGAAAGAGGUGAGGGGUAGGUCUCAGAAGGGGCGAGGGAAGGGAACAAAGGGAUGAUGCUUCUACAGUCUCUGAAUGUGACCCCCUCUACUGGCCGCACCUCCUCUACCCGUAGCUUGGGUCGAGGACACUCGGCGGUCUCCCGCUGAACACUCGCAUUGGCAUGGUUUGCGUGGAUUGGCUCGAUGCAACUGUACAACCUCAUAAAGGACGUCGCGACGGCGGAGAUCUUGAAGGUGCAAAACUGGCAGUGGAUCAGAUACAGAGCCGACAUAGGAUAGAAGUUGUUCAUGACCAAAGAUGAUCUUGAGAUAGUCUGGACUCUGGAGCAGGAAUGGGCUCUAGCAGAGGAUUCUUGAGCUCAACACACUUGCUAUUUCUAUUCACCGUUACUGAUCUCUUGAUGCUCUUGGUGUUCGAUGAAACGGCUUCUUUCAGUGCUGUUAUUAAGUCUCUACAAAAGUUUUGAAGUCAUCCAUUUUUGCUCCAAAGAGGAUUUUAUCCCGAACAUUCCAAGUUUGAGGGAGGGGGCUAAUUCAGAAGCGUUUGCUUGGCGGGGCUCCUCUUAAAUUGAUGCUGGUUAUCUUGAACUCUAGCAGCUACUUCUAGGAAAGCUUUCAUAAUUUUUCGUUACUUGCAGUUCAUAUUGUUAUUUUUAUUAACGGCAAGAUAAUAUUUUAAGCACUCAAAAUACAUACUUAAAUAUGUCAUUCUCUACUCAUUUUUGAGACCAUAUUCCAUUUCUUUUUUUUCUCAUAAAUAAUUAUUUCUUUUC
Long non-coding RNA from Ananas comosus (pineapple), 1073 nucleotides. RefSeq lists it as uncharacterized. The transcript has 5 exons. The record is from RefSeq and is a predicted model, not a curated record. NCBI's taxonomy places the organism in Eukaryota, Viridiplantae, Streptophyta, Magnoliopsida, Poales, Bromeliaceae.